This 400-nucleotide ribosomal RNA is filed under the name uncultured bacterium. RNAcentral's name for it is "bacterial SSU rRNA". It matches the Rfam family "Bacterial small subunit ribosomal RNA", at positions 355 to 752 of the family's 1533-position model. The record is from RNAcentral.
UAAGGAAUAUUGGACAAUGGACGGAAGUCUGAUCCAGCCAUCCCGCGUGCAGGAAGAAGGUCCUCUGGAUUGUAAACUGCUUUUAAUAGGGAAGAAUAGCGGGGAUUUAUCCUCGUAUGACGGUACCUACAGAAUAAGCACCGGCUAACUCCGUGCCAGCAGCCGCGGUAAUACGGAGGGUGCAAGCGUUAUCCGGAUUUACUGGGUUUAAAGGGAGCGCAGGCGGAUUGUUAAGUCAGUGUUGAAAUUCCGGGGCUUAACCUCGGGACUGGCAUUGAUACUGGCGAUCUUGAAUAUAGUUGAGGUUGGCGGAAUACAACAUGUAGCGGUGAAAUGCUUAGAUAUGUUAUAGAACACCGAUUGCGAAGGCAGCUGGCUAAACUAUGAUUGACGCUGAGGC